GUGAGGAAUAUUGGACAAUGGGCGCAAGCCUUAUCCAGCCAUGCCGCGUGCAGGAAGACGCAUCUAUGGUGUGUAAACUGCUUUUGUACGGGAAGAAACACUCCCUCGUGAGGGAGCUUGACGGUACCGUAAGAAUAAGGAUCGGCUAACUCCGUGCCAGCAGCCGCGGUAAUACGGAGGAUCCAAGCGUUAUCCGGAAUCAUUGGGUUUAAAGGGUCCGUAGGCGGUUUAAUAAGUCAGUGGUGAAAGCCCAUCGCUCAACGAUGGAACGGCCAUUGAUACUGUUAGACUUGAAUUACAAGGAAGUAACUAGAAUAUGUAGUGUAGCGGUGAAAUGCUUAGAUAUUACAUGGAAUACCAAUUGCGAAGGCAGGUUACUACUUGUGGAUUGACGCUGAUGGACGAAAGCGUGGGGAGCGAACAGGAUUAGAUACCCGUGUAGUCC
Molecule: ribosomal RNA, 445 nt
Filed under: uncultured bacterium
Lineage: Bacteria
Description: partial 16S ribosomal RNA
Rfam family: Bacterial small subunit ribosomal RNA
Source: RNAcentral